This is a long non-coding RNA of Cygnus olor (mute swan), 2297 nucleotides long. RefSeq lists it as uncharacterized. The transcript has 4 exons. The record is from RefSeq and is a predicted model, not a curated record. NCBI's taxonomy places the organism in Eukaryota, Metazoa, Chordata, Aves, Anseriformes, Anatidae.
UUGGCAUAAAUAUAGGAGAAAUUUACUGUUUUCAAUAAGACUGAGUUAAACUUGCAUUAAUUUUACUGAUUCCAAAGAGGAAAAAAAAGAAAUUAAGAGUAAGAAUAUUUCUUGAAGAUAAAAGAAUCUGCACAGGGUAAGAAGUUCACUGCUUGGCUUGUGGGCAUGCACCCCUCAGCUUUGCUGCACACAGAGAAGACACCACUGCUACUCUGAAGGGAAAGAGGAUAAGAAUGAAGGGUGAAUGAGGAACCUCAGGUCCUGCUGUGAACACGUAAGCUGUGCUGCUGAUGCUCGUAAUUCCUGCGGAACACGUGGGCGGCUGCCUCUCUCAUUCAGCUAUGAUCGUCCUCUUCCUUUCCCAGACUCCCAUGAAAGCGUGAAAAGUGCAGUUAUUCAUGCACAAUAAGGUGUGAUCGUUAUCGUGACUUGUUUCUGCAAAUGUUGUUAAAACAAGGCAAUAUCUGAAGCUCCACAAAAGCUGUGCCUUUCUCAUGCAAAGCGUAACAUUCCUGGCGAGUCGAAUGCUGUGUCAGAACCGGGAUAUCUCCAGGAGUGUAUGCUGGACUGGACACGUGGAUGAAGGCUGGAAUCAGAAGGGCACAGUCCAGCAGUUGUCAUUACAAUUAAUUGGUGGACUCCAUGGUGUCCUACCAAAGAAACUGAGUACUGGCUUCUGAAGAGUGACUUGUGGAGUAAAACAGCUGUGCUGAAAUAUGGAAAGGUAAUUAUUCUUAAUUGUAUUCACCAGAUGUCAGUCAUACCAACUCAAUUGCAUGCAUCAGUUAAGGUGGGAGUACCUGCCAGAGAAUUGCCUGCUUAGUCUCUUUUUUCAAAAGUCAGGAUGACUGAGUCCACGUCAGACAUGCAUGAACACAUCUGUGCAAGAUUCCCCCCAGACGGGCAAACAUCAAUAUUCCUACAUCAGUGGCCAGAGGCAUGGAUGGGGCUGAGGGACCUGCCAAGAGCUACCAGGGAAGGUCUCAGGCAGCUUCCUGGGAGAGGCUCUGCACCUCCAGAGUCCAGGCACGGACCAGCUUAUCCACCACAGUCUGGUUCUGUGAGAGCUCACAAAUGAAGUGCCUGUUUUUGUAGCUCCAGGCACGAUAUCUGCCUAUAGCCAUACCCUCUCCCAUGAAAACAGACACACCACACUGCUGAGAGCGAAUGCCAGAGAGCCUUGAAAGGAGGCGGUAACUUUGAGAAGAUUGAUUGUUUUCUUCCCCAAAGAACUGCUGUUUCCCUAUAAUUUAGGUUUCAAGACUCUUUUUCUACCUGGACUGAGUUUCAGGAAAACCUUACGUGAUGCACAAAAUCAAACCCUAGCUGCCUGAUUUAUAUUUUAAAAAUAAAACAGCUAGAGCAAGGAUUUUUUUUUUUUUUUUUAGACUGAAGGACUGAUUUUUAUUCUUAUCAUUACUUCUAUAAUAUAUAAGACUUCUGUAAUCAAUAGUACAUAUUUAGAGUUAUUGGGAGAUAAUUCAUGUUGUUCUGCAGUGUCUGGCCAGGUAAAGGGCAAAGGUUUAAUGCAGUCUCACUACACUUGAUUUAAUAAGGUCAGUCACAACUCCAUACAAAUUCAGAUUAGUAUAACUUAAUUAAGCGCUUAAAAAUGAUCAGCCUAGCAUUUUACUGUGUUGCAGGCCAACUUGUCCUUUCCUUUCAGAGAACAGGGUAAUAAAACUACUCGCAUUACUUUCCCAGGUGAAGUGGUACACAAUUUUGCCAUUGAUGUCACACGGGGGAAAAAGGCAUCAGUUACAAACGUUAACCCAUCAUCCCAUCGCAUUGUACUGACCCUUCAAGCUCACAGUCUCCUUCUACAUAUGAAAGAGAGGCAGUAGGGUUGUAAUCACAUGCUCAGAAGUGUAUUUCAGGCAUUUCGGCACAGCCUCUAAUUAUAUUGUCACACGCAAUUCUUUCUCACAAACCUCUGGCCUCAUUUGGGGCACAGAAUGCCCCGCACUCACCUGUUAGGUAGUUAUUAAGUACUAUAUUUUCUUCACUCGAUGUGGGUCCCAUACCUAAUUUACCAUAUUCUAUUCAAAUUUUCCUCUGAAAAGUGACUGAUAGGUGUCCUCGGAUGUGAGUUUGUGGCUUCAGUGCUCUGCUGAGUUAGUUGCUUCACAAACAUCAGUGAAUUUAUUUGCAGAGCGUGUCUGUGAGAGGAGAGGGUGCUUCACAAAUGGGAACUUAAAUGCUGAGAAUAUGACAGCAAAACGUCCACUAAUUUAGCUGACAAGUUUGAAAGGUUUGAAUUUUAAGAAGACAUCGAAAUUAUGCAUGUGGUGCCUAAA